RNAcentral lists this transfer RNA (58 nucleotides) under Tsukamurella spumae. Its description in RNAcentral is "tRNA-Ala". It matches the Rfam family "tRNA", at positions 9 to 63 of the family's 71-position model. Rfam says of the family: Transfer RNA (tRNA) molecules are approximately 80 nucleotides in length. Their secondary structure includes four short double-helical elements and three loops (D, anti-codon, and T loops). Further hydrogen bonds mediate the characteristic L-shaped molecular structure. tRNAs have two regions of fundamental functional importance: the anti-codon, which is responsible for specific mRNA codon recognition, and the 3' end, to which the tRNAs corresponding amino acid is attached (by aminoacyl-tRNA synthetases). tRNAs cope with the degeneracy of the genetic code in two manners: having more than one tRNA (with a specific anti-codon) for a particular amino acid; and 'wobble' base-pairing, i.e. permitting non-standard base-pairing at the 3rd anti-codon position. The record is from RNAcentral. RNAcentral also lists the same sequence under 1 other name. Lineage: Bacteria; Bacillati; Actinomycetota; Actinomycetes; Mycobacteriales; Tsukamurellaceae.
AGCUCAGUUGGUAGAGCAUCGCCUUUGCAAGGCGAGGGUCAGGGGUUCGAAUCCCCUA